This 508-nucleotide ribosomal RNA is filed under the name uncultured bacterium. RNAcentral's name for it is "partial 16S ribosomal RNA". It matches the Rfam family "Bacterial small subunit ribosomal RNA", at positions 28 to 523 of the family's 1533-position model. The record is from RNAcentral.
GAUGAACGCUAGCUACAGGCUUAACACAUGCAAGUCGAGGGGAAACGAUAUUGGAAGCUUGCUUCCGAUAGGCGUCGACCGGCGCACGGGUGAGUAACGCGUAUCCAACCUGCCCACCACUUGGGGAUAACCUUGCGAAAGUAAGACUAAUACCCAAUGAUAUCUCAAGAAGACAUCUGAAUGAGAUUAAAGAUUUAUCGGUGAUGGAUGGGGAUGCGUCUGAUUAGCUUGUUGGCGGGGUAACGGCCCACCAAGGCGACGAUCAGUAGGGGUUCUGGGAGGAAGGUCCCCCACAUUGGAACUGAGACACGGUCCAAACUCCUACGGGAGGCAGCAGUGAGGAAUAUUGGUCAAUGGGCGAGAGCCUGAACCAGCCAAGUGGCGUGCAGGAUGAUGGCCCUAUGGGUUGUAAACUGCUUUUAUAAGGGAAUAAAGUGAGCCUCGUGAGGCUUUUUGCAUGUACCUUAUGAAUAAGGACCGGCUAAUUCCGUGCCAGCCGCCGCAGUAA